CGUAGAUUUACGUGCAGGUAGGCCGAGACGCUUGUCUGUUCAUCAACCGUCUCAGGCAUUGGUUGAUUUGAAGCCGACCCCUCUUCAAGGUGUUAACAUAAAGAUUAAUAGGGCAUCGGCUCACACCGUCGAAGAAUUUUCACUCGGAAAGAUGUUAGCUAUCGUUGCGAGUCGUCCGAUCCUAAGAUCCGCCGUCGACGCCCUUGCAAAGACGUCUGCACGGAAUAACUCCCACUACCAAGGGCAAGUUUCUGGACCACCGCGAGUGAGGAUAUCGUUUCCGGAAAAAGUGACUCAUGGGAUUAUAAUCUUCAUCGGCUGCACUAUCAUUCCGACGUGGGUAACCUUGAACAUCCCAAAGUAUAAUCCACAAGACGCCGAUGAUGAGUAGAAUGACCUUACAUGACAGUAGAUGAGACUUUUUCUGGAUUUGUAGUGUACUGAAUUAAACAUAACUUACUUACAUAGCUCUAUAUUCGUCAACAUUGUAAUUCAAUUGACAUGCAAUAAAAUUGUUGAAGGCCA
Molecule: long non-coding RNA, 525 nt
Filed under: Neodiprion lecontei (redheaded pine sawfly)
Lineage: Eukaryota; Metazoa; Arthropoda; Insecta; Hymenoptera; Diprionidae
Description: uncharacterized LOC124293931
Source: RNAcentral